Molecule: long non-coding RNA, 782 nt
Filed under: Homo sapiens (human)
Lineage: Eukaryota; Metazoa; Chordata; Mammalia; Primates; Hominidae
Description: HSALNT0393575
Source: RNAcentral
CUUCUUGAUGUGUAGGAAGCAAGAGCUUCACAGGUACAUCUUUUAAGGUUCUUCCCCAGGCCUGAAAGCUUAAGGAGAUGAAUAACUCCUCCCUUCUCAGGCCUGGUACCAAGGUGCAAAGCUACUUGCAGCAGCAGCGUGCGCCAGCAAGAUAGCAGAAGCAGGAAGAGAGCCAGCCGGAAGACAUGUACCUCUGAAGAUCAAGAAAGAGGCUAUCCAGAAGAGAACAGCAUCAGGGCACAUUGAGGCUCAGAAAUUUAUAUUCCAAGAAGAGGUGCACAGGAACAGAGCAGAUCCAAAGCAGACAACCACCUGGAAGCAGUCAUAACAACAGCAAUAGCAAAUCAAUGCUGAUAAAAGAAAUCAAGUACAGAGAGUUUUAAGGACAUUGUCCAAAGUUGUACAAGGGCACCAUUUUUAAAAGUUGACAACCUCCUGCAGGGAUGUUCUGAAAGACAGAGACAUCUUGUCGGAAUUAUGAAUGUCCUUGGUGGAUGAGGCAGAAAGAGUUGACUGUGUAGGACAUUCCUGACAAGUCCUCAGGAUUUGAAAUGACUCCAACACUAAGCAUUCACCUGGAGAUAACCUACAGAGAUACUCUGUGUUACCCACAACUAGUCUGUUGACUAAGUUGGUGAAUAUAUUUGGGAAAAGCCCAUGUGGAAGAAUGGAAGCCUGCAUUAUCUUUCUCAGAGACAGACAGGAAGGUGACUCUAUGGAAGACAUCAGCGAUAAACUAGGAAGGAGUGACACGGUAAGUGAAAAUAGAGAUAUGCAGUGUG